UUGUUCCUUCCUCCUUCAGAUAGAAAGAAGGCAGUGCGAAAGAUAACUUGCAGUUCAGAGAUAAAAGUCCAUUUGGCUCCAACAACAGAAAUACUAAAAGGGGCCGCCAAACAAAAUAGAUCUUGAGGAGUGAAGCAGUGGAUUAUCAGUAUUUAAAGCUGCGUUGGAUUCCAGGAGCAGCUGAAACACGAACGCACUGAUCGAUUAGUCAUCAUGCACUGGAACAUGUACGCCGCCGUUUCAUCGCAACGGAGCGGAAGCUGUGUGGUACCUGGUGUGCGUUGCUGAGCUUUGGUCGCGAAACUGUUGAUGCAGAAGAAGAGACAUCAUGGGACUGGGUAACAGCGGGUGUGCCUGGAGAUGAAACACCUGCGAGGAGACGACAAGGUGAUGCAUCAUACAACACCAAACACAUGGCAUCGUUUCAAAAGC
Cyclopterus lumpus (lumpfish) is the source of this 432-nucleotide long non-coding RNA. RefSeq lists it as uncharacterized. Lineage: Eukaryota; Metazoa; Chordata; Actinopteri; Perciformes; Cyclopteridae. The transcript is spliced from 3 exons. The record is from RefSeq and is a predicted model, not a curated record.